CCCAAAUUCCACGCUCUCUCCUCCUCGUCGCCGGCUAAUGCUAUCCGACCAAUCACAAUGUCGCCCACUCUCGUCUCGCUAUCCAUCGUAAACCCUACAGCCUUUGCCGCCCGCAAAUCCUCCCUCUUCCCCGGCGUCCGCCCUCUUCCCCCGCUCCUGCCCUCUCGCCUCCAAACCCCAGCGGCCUUGCGGGGGUUCAGGAGGCGGCGGCGCGGGUGGGGAGCGCUGGUUCCGCCCUCGGCGGCCGCGUCGGCGUUCUCGGCGGCGGCUGAGGAUGAGGAGUGGCUCAAGAAGCUCCCUGACAAGAAGAAGCCUCUCUACUCCCACAGCCUCCCGUGCAUCGAGGCGUGGUUCAGAAAGCUUGGGUUCCGACAGAGCCGGGAUGAUCGAGCGGUGUGGGUCGUCGAGAAACCCAACUGGCACGCCCAGCUCUCCCUCGAUGUCACCGACCUUUACAUAAGGUACCUGAAGAGUGGGCCAGGAAACCUUGAGAAGGACAUUGAGAGAAGAUUUAGUUAUGCGUUGAGCAGGGAGGAUAUUGAAAAUGCCAUCCUUGGUGGACCUUGAAAAUGAUAAAGCUUGACAGGAUUGUGGAUAUCUGGGAAGCUUCUUUAUGAAGAAUGCUCUGUUUUGGAUUAAGCAAGUGGUCAUUAUCAAAUCAAUAGUCGAUUUGAUUAUGGUUCUGAUUCCAAGAAUCCGAGGGUUCACAGCUGACUUGUGCGUUUUCUUGUUGAUUUCUUGAUGCACUCUUAUCAACUGGGGCAACCAGUCGAGUAGCUUAAAAAAGAUGUAUGCAUUACCUCUUAGAACUAGAUUUUGCAGCUUGAACAUAAUGUAUAACUUCACAAGUUGUGCUGGUGAUGGUCGUUUGUAACAGAUGGAGCAACUGUAAAGAUCAUAAGAAUAUAACUUCAAGCUUGACAAUGUAGCUGGUUAAGUUAUCAAUA
Molecule: RNA transcript, 947 nt
Organism: Musa acuminata AAA Group (dessert banana)
Lineage: Eukaryota; Viridiplantae; Streptophyta; Magnoliopsida; Zingiberales; Musaceae
Exons: 4
Source: RefSeq, a predicted model, not a curated record